This 1654-nucleotide long non-coding RNA is filed under the name Gossypium barbadense (sea-island cotton). Its description in RNAcentral is "long non-coding RNA (GBAR_LNC005955)". The record is from RNAcentral. Lineage: Eukaryota; Viridiplantae; Streptophyta; Magnoliopsida; Malvales; Malvaceae.
AAAUAAUGAAUUAUAAGUAUAGAAAAUUUAAUUAAAAAUAAAUUUAAAAUAAUAGGGAUAAUUUAUGAAUAAAAUAAAUUACUGAAAUUAAAUCAAGGACCAAUACGCAACGCGUGCAAACGCACAGGGACCAAAGUUGGAAAUAUUCCAGAUCCCAAAAUGCAGCACUUAGGUGAGGAUCAAAUUGAAUCCACACGUAAAUUACAGAGAAAAACUAAAAACAAGAAAAACAAAUAAAAUUCAAUUGAAUUAUGGUACAAAAGAGAAGGACGUUGGUGCAAAUAUCCCUUCAAGACCAAGCACACGGAUCUUGACCGUGCGUGGGUCGGGUCAUUGGGUUGUGGCUAUUGUACGGUGCCGUUUUGUGGCCAUUGAUGUUGGCCUAAAACGGUGACGUCUACUGCUCUUUAUAUUCUCAAAACAAACCCUAAAUGCAACCUUUAGCCAUUUAUAAAAAAAGAAAAAGAACCUAAGUUACUCUCUCAAAUCAUUCGGCCGACCGAUAGUCCCCUAUUCGACCACCCUCGCGCCUCUCUUCUCGACGAAUGGCCGAUCGAAGGUCUCAUUCAACCAUGGAGUUUUGCUCACAAGCCCCAAAAUCACCACCUAGUUUCGAUUAUGACGAAACAAGCGAGGAUUUGAUGGUGUCGAAAACAAAGAUAAAUUCCUUUUUUAUUUUUAUUAUGUAGUAAAUGAAAAAGAAUCAUAAAGAAAGUAAAUGAACACUAAAUCGAAAGAAAAGCUAAAAAUCACAUUUUUUGAUUUGCUUUUGAAAUGUUUUUUUUUUGUAUUCAGUGUGCGUAAGUUCUCAAAGAUUACAUUCGGUGGCUUUUUAUAGCCGAAAAAUGAGAAUAAAAUAAAUAAGAAAAAUCAAAUCCUUACUGUAAUUUGUUGCAUAAUCUGUUAUUGGCUCCUUCUCGUGUGUUCUUUUGCAGGAACAGCCGUACAGAGGAACGAGGAGAGACGCGUGUGAAGGAGGCCGUGCUUGGAACCCUUUGUGGGGAACCCAAUUGUGGCUGGCUGCUGGUGUUUUCCAGAAGUUUUUGGCUUGGGCUCUAUGAGCCUACUUUGAAAACGAACGGCCAGAACUGAAGACUAUUGCUGCGACGCUAAUCACCAACUGGGGUUUGGGCUAGGGUUAGUCUUAGAUUGGGCCACCUGCGAAUCGGGCUAAGGACUUUGGGUUAUUUGUUAAUUUGGUAUUUAAUUUUGAUGUUUGGGUUUGGUUUAGUUUUAUUAUUUUUUAGGUUUCAAUUUGGGCCAACAUUUUGUAAUCUGGACUAAUGCUUUAUUUUUGUUUUGGGCUAUUAAAAGUAGAUGUAAAUAGACUUUUAUUUAUUGGUUUUGUUUUGGACUUAUUUUAUUUAUUUUUUUGAUAACUUUAUGGGCGCGGGCGAAAUGGGCCUUCUACAUCAAGGAUUCAAGGUGUCCUGUACUAACUUACGGGAUGUGAAAUUUUGUUACUUCGAGAUAAGAAGGCAUUUUAUACAUAUUUUGAUUUAUUCGAGUAAUUUUAAUUAAAAAUAACAUAAUAAAAAGAUGGAGCGUAUUUUAAAUUCUUUUCGAGUUCUAAACUUUCGACAUUAAGAUAUUAAUUAAUUAGGUACCAAUUUUGGGCGUUACGAGGGUACUAAUCCUUCAUCGUACGUAACCG